Molecule: ribosomal RNA, 492 nt
Filed under: uncultured bacterium
Lineage: Bacteria
Description: partial 16S ribosomal RNA
Rfam family: Bacterial small subunit ribosomal RNA
Source: RNAcentral
AGUGAACGCUGGCGGUAGGCCUAACACAUGCAAGUCGAACGGCAGCACAGUAAGAGCUUGCUCUUACGGGUGGCGAGUGGCGGACGGGUGAGGAAUACAUCGGAAUCUACUUUUUCGUGGGGGAUAACGUAGGGAAACUUACGCUAAUACCGCAUACGACCUACGGGUGAAAGCAGGGGAUCUUCGGACCUUGCGCGAUUGAAUGAGCCGAUGUCGGAUUAGCUAGUUGGCGGGGUAAAGGCCCACCAAGGCGACGAUCCGUAGCUGGUCUGAGAGGAUGAUCAGCCACACUGGAACUGAGACACGGUCCAGACUCCUACGGGAGGCAGCAGUGGGGAAUAUUGGACAAUGGGCGCAAGCCUGAUCCGGCCAUACCGCGUGGGUGAAGAAGGCCUUCGGGUUGUAAAGCCCUUUUGUUGGGAAAGAAAAGCAGCAGGUUAAUACCCCGCUGUUCUGACGGUACCCAAAGAAUAAGCACCGGCUAACUUCGCG